UCAGGUACUGAGUGACUUUGA
RNAcentral lists this microRNA (21 nucleotides) under Polistes canadensis. RNAcentral's name for it is "pca-miR-306-5p". Its record names the gene pca-miR-306-5p. The record is from miRBase by way of RNAcentral. Lineage: Eukaryota; Metazoa; Arthropoda; Insecta; Hymenoptera; Vespidae.